RNAcentral lists this ribosomal RNA (630 nucleotides) under uncultured bacterium. RNAcentral's name for it is "bacterial SSU rRNA". It matches the Rfam family "Bacterial small subunit ribosomal RNA", at positions 245 to 884 of the family's 1533-position model. The record is from RNAcentral.
CUUGUUGGUGGGGUGACGGCCUACCAAGGCGACGACGGGUAGCCGGCCUGAGAGGGUGUCCGGCCACACUGGGACUGAGAUACGGCCCAGACUCCUACGGGAGGCAGCAGUGGGGAAUAUUGCACAAUGGGCGCAAGCCUGAUGCAGCGACGCCGCGUGGGGGAUGACGGCCUUCGGGUUGUAAACCUCUUUCAGCAGGGACGAAGCGAAAGUGACGGUACCUGCAGAAGAAGCACCGGCCAACUACGUGCCAGCAGCCGCGGUAAUACGUAGGGUGCGAGCGUUGUCCGGAAUUACUGGGCGUAAAGAGCUCGUAGGUGGUUUGUCGCGUUGUUCGUGAAAACCGGGGGCUUAACCCUCGGCGUGCGGGCGAUACGGGCAGACUGGAGUACUGCAGGGGAGACUGGAAUUCCUGGUGUAGCGGUGGAAUGCGCAGAUAUCAGGAGGAACACCGGUGGCGAAGGCGGGUCUCUGGGCAGUAACUGACGCUGAGGAGCGAAAGCGUGGGGAGCGAACAGGAUUAGAUACCCUGGUAGUCCACGCCGUAAACGGUGGGUACUAGGUGUGGGUUUCCUUCCUUGGCAUCCGUGCCGUAGCUAACGCAUUAAGUACCCCGCCUGGGGGAGUACA